AUUGAACGCUGGCGGCAGGCCUAACACAUGCAAGUCGAGCGGAUGAAGGGAGCUUUCUCCUGUAUUCAGCGGCGGACGGGUGAGUAAUUCCUAGGAAUCUGCCUGGUAGUUGGGGAUAACGUCCGUAAACGGGCGCUAAUACCGCAUACGUCCUGAUGGUGAAAGUGGGGGAUCUUCGGACCUCACGCUAUCAGAUGAGCCUAGGUCGGAUUAGCUAGUUGGUGGGGUAAAGGCCUACCAAGGCGACGAUCCGUAACUGGUCUGAGAGGAUGAUCAGUCACACUGGAACUGAGACACGGUCCAGACUCCUACGGGAGGCGGCAGUGGGGAAUAUUGGACAAUGGGCGAAAGCCUGAUGCAGCCAUGCCGCGUGUGUGAAGAAGGUCUUCGGAUUGUAAAGCACUUUAAGUUGGGAGGAAGAGCAGUAAGUUAAUACCUUGCUGUUUUGACGUUACCAACAGAAUAAGCACCGGCUAACUUCGUG
Molecule: ribosomal RNA, 484 nt
Filed under: uncultured bacterium
Lineage: Bacteria
Description: partial 16S ribosomal RNA
Rfam family: Bacterial small subunit ribosomal RNA
Source: RNAcentral